RNAcentral lists this ribosomal RNA (255 nucleotides) under uncultured bacterium. Its description in RNAcentral is "partial 16S ribosomal RNA". It matches the Rfam family "Bacterial small subunit ribosomal RNA", at positions 1246 to 1500 of the family's 1533-position model. The record is from RNAcentral.
GAAGCGAAGCCGCGAGGUGGAGCAAACCUCACAAACAGCGUCUCAGUUCAGAUUGCAGGCUGCAACCCGCCUGCAUGAAGUCGGAAUUGCUAGUAAUCGCGGAUCAGCAUGCCGCGGUGAAUACGUUCCCGGGCCUUGUACACACCGCCCGUCACACCAUGAGAGCCGGGGGGACCCGAAGUCCGUAGCCUAACCGCAAGGGGGGCGCGGCCGAAGGUAAAACUGGUGAUUGGGGUGAAGUCGUAACAAGGUAAC